GCCCCGGUAGCUCAGCAGGAUAGAGCAACGGCCUCCUAAGCCGUAGGUCACAGGUUCGAAUCCUGUCCGGGGCGCCA
This 77-nucleotide transfer RNA is filed under the name Thiohalorhabdus denitrificans. RNAcentral's name for it is "tRNA_Arg_CCT". It matches the Rfam family "tRNA". Rfam says of the family: Transfer RNA (tRNA) molecules are approximately 80 nucleotides in length. Their secondary structure includes four short double-helical elements and three loops (D, anti-codon, and T loops). Further hydrogen bonds mediate the characteristic L-shaped molecular structure. tRNAs have two regions of fundamental functional importance: the anti-codon, which is responsible for specific mRNA codon recognition, and the 3' end, to which the tRNAs corresponding amino acid is attached (by aminoacyl-tRNA synthetases). tRNAs cope with the degeneracy of the genetic code in two manners: having more than one tRNA (with a specific anti-codon) for a particular amino acid; and 'wobble' base-pairing, i.e. permitting non-standard base-pairing at the 3rd anti-codon position. Lineage: Bacteria; Pseudomonadati; Pseudomonadota; Gammaproteobacteria; Thiohalorhabdales; Thiohalorhabdaceae. RNAcentral also lists the same sequence under 1 other name. The record is from RNAcentral.